GGGGGAACUCUAAUUUAAUUUCGCGCGGGGGAGUAUCCCUCGGAAGACAGAAACCCUCAAGGAAUUGAGCGGGGGCCCACAAGUGGGAGAGCAUGUGGUUUAAUUGGGAGCAAUGGGAACAACCUUUCCGGGUAUCGACCUCCUCUGACAAUUCAAGAGGUAGGAUGUCCCCUUUGGGGGCAGGGUGACAGGUGGUGCAUGGUUGUUGUUAGCUCCUUUUUUGAGAUGUUGGGUUUAUUCCCGCAAAGAGGGCAACCCUUGUUUUUAGUCGCCAGCAUUCAGGUGGGCAAUUUAAGGUGAACCUCGGUGACAAACCGGAGGAAGGUGGGGGUGACGUCAAAUUAUCAUGCCCCCUUUGACCUGGGGUACACACGUGCUACAAAGGACAGAACAAAGGGGAGCGAAACCGCGAGGGUAAGCCAAUCCCACAAAUUUGUUUUCAGUUUGGAUUGCAGUUUGCAAAUUGAAUGCGUGAAGCUGGAAUUGGUUGUAAUCGCGGAUCAGCAUGCCGCGGUGAAUAAGUUCCCGGGCCUUGUACACACCGCCCGUCACACCCACGAGAGUUUGUAACACCCGAAGUCGGUGAGGUAACCUUUUAGGAGCCCAGCCGCCCGAAGGGUGGGGACCAGAUGAAU
This 635-nucleotide ribosomal RNA is filed under the name Bacillus subtilis. RNAcentral describes it as "bacterial SSU rRNA". It matches the Rfam family "Bacterial small subunit ribosomal RNA", at positions 875 to 1485 of the family's 1533-position model. Lineage: Bacteria; Bacillati; Bacillota; Bacilli; Caryophanales; Bacillaceae. The record is from RNAcentral.